This 207-nucleotide ribosomal RNA is filed under the name Triticum aestivum (bread wheat). RNAcentral's name for it is "partial small subunit ribosomal RNA". The record is from RNAcentral. Lineage: Eukaryota; Viridiplantae; Streptophyta; Magnoliopsida; Poales; Poaceae.
AUGAUUAAAUGAGAAGAUUGUUCUUUUACCAAACAUAUGCCGAUCAAAUCACGUCUUAUAAUAAGAAGAAAUCUUUCUCGGUAUCAAUCCCCUUGCCCCUCAUUCUUUGAGAAUCAGAAGGAUCCUUUUCGAGUUUCCAUUUCUUCAUUUGGAAAUUUCAUAGUGACAGUCAUAUCCACCGCAAAGUAUAAUGCUGACCAAGCUUAG